GAUGAAGAACGUAGCGAAAUGCGAUACGUAAUGUGAAUUGCAAAUUCAGUGAAUCAUCGAGUCUUUGAACGCACAUUGCGCCCCCUGGUAUUCCGGGGGGCAUGCCUGUCCGAGCGUCAUUGCUGCCCUCAAGCACGGCUUGUGUGUUGGGCCCCGUCCUCCGAUCCCGGGGGACGGGCCCGAAAGGCAGCGGCGGCACCGCGUCCGGUCCUCGAGCGUAUGGGGCUUUGUCACCCGCUCUGUAGGCCCGGCCGGCGCUUGCCGAUCAACCCAAAUUUUUUAUCCAGGUUGACCUCGGAUCACGUAGGGAUACCCGCUGAACUUAAGCAUAUCAAUAAGCGGAGGA
This 346-nucleotide unclassified non-coding RNA is filed under the name soil metagenome. RNAcentral's name for it is "partial contains 5.8S ribosomal RNA, internal transcribed spacer 2, and large subunit ribosomal RNA". The stretch from base 1 to 119 matches the Rfam family "5.8S ribosomal RNA", at positions 35 to 154 of the family's 154-position model. The record is from RNAcentral.